AAAGAUUUAGGAUAUUUAGACCAAGGACCUUCAAAGUCCUAAGCAGAAGUUAAAAUCUUCUAAUCUUU
Molecule: transfer RNA, 68 nt
Filed under: Necturus lewisi (Neuse river waterdog)
Lineage: Eukaryota; Metazoa; Chordata; Amphibia; Caudata; Proteidae
Description: tRNA-Trp
Rfam family: tRNA
About the family: Transfer RNA (tRNA) molecules are approximately 80 nucleotides in length. Their secondary structure includes four short double-helical elements and three loops (D, anti-codon, and T loops).
Source: RNAcentral